RNAcentral lists this transfer RNA (74 nucleotides) under marine sediment metagenome. RNAcentral's name for it is "tRNA-Arg". It matches the Rfam family "tRNA". From Rfam's summary of the family: Transfer RNA (tRNA) molecules are approximately 80 nucleotides in length. Their secondary structure includes four short double-helical elements and three loops (D, anti-codon, and T loops). The record is from RNAcentral.
GUCCUCGAAGCUCAACUGGAUGAGCGCCGAAUUCCUACUUCGGAGGUUGCUGGGUUCGAUCCCCGCCGAGGACC